UGGGGAAUAUUGCACAAUGGGCGAAAGCCUGAUGCAGCGACGCCGCGUGAGUGAAGAAGUAUUUCGGUAUGUAAAGCUCUAUCAGCAGGGAAGAAAAUGACGGUACCUGACUAAGAAGCCCCGGCUAACUACGUGCCAGCAGCCGCGGUAAUACGUAGGGGGCAAGCGUUAUCCGGAUUUGCUGGGUGUAAAGGGAGCGUAGACGGCGAAGCAAGUCUGAAGUGAAAACCCAGGGCUCAACCCUGGGACUGCUUUGGAAACUGUUGUGCUAGAGUGUCGGAGAGGUAAGUGGAAUUCCUAGUGUAGCGGUGAAAUGCGGAGAUAUUAGGAGGAACACCAGUGGCGAAGGCGGCUUACUGGACGAUAACUGACGUUGAGGCUCGAAAGCGUGGGGAGCAAACAGG
This 404-nucleotide ribosomal RNA is filed under the name Fusobacteriota bacterium. RNAcentral's name for it is "Fusobacteria bacterium partial 16S ribosomal RNA". It matches the Rfam family "Bacterial small subunit ribosomal RNA", at positions 355 to 776 of the family's 1533-position model. Lineage: Bacteria; Fusobacteriati; Fusobacteriota. The record is from RNAcentral.